Molecule: non-coding RNA, 74 nt
Filed under: Arenibacter nanhaiticus
Lineage: Bacteria; Pseudomonadati; Bacteroidota; Flavobacteriia; Flavobacteriales; Flavobacteriaceae
Source: RNAcentral
UAGAGCCGUAUGAAUCGAGAGGUUCACGUACGGUUCCUUUAGAUUUGAAUCUAGAAAUAAUAUACAAAUUAAUU